ACCAUUUACACAUUUUGAUCACCAAGGACCACGUGCGACCAUGUGGGCUAUGUGUAUUUUAUGCCUUUGUUAUUGGAGAGUUCAUAUCCGCUCAAAUGUUCAUGGUAAACAUCGUUUCUAUAAACGCUUUUAGCAUGAUAUACAUGAAGAAAGAUAUGAGUUUUGGAAAAUAUGACUGGCGGCUGUUAUCAUUUACUUUUGGCAUUCCGUUUAUAGUUUACUUGUCUGCGGC
Molecule: long non-coding RNA, 232 nt
Filed under: Mytilus galloprovincialis (Mediterranean mussel)
Lineage: Eukaryota; Metazoa; Mollusca; Bivalvia; Mytilida; Mytilidae
Source: RNAcentral